GUUGCAUAAGGGCAAAAUAGUCCAUUUAAAAAAUGGUUAUAAUAUAUGAAAAGAAUGGGUGAUCUGUGGCAGUCUGAAAUGUUUGCUCUUGGUGCUCUCAAAACCGAAGAAUGACUACACACACCAAACACCUUUACCUUGUUCCUUCAGUAUUCAACUCUCUGGAGUAUAUGGAAUCACAAAGGAGCACAAACGGAACUGCAUUACAUCUGUAUCAAUGCAUAUUUGGGGUGUCGGUGAAGGAAAAGGUGAAUAAAAGAAUCAAUGACACCUCUUAAAUUAUCCUGGAUAUAGCUUGAGCCCAUCCUUCGAAGUGAGGUUAUCAUAAGGAUGGAA
Non-coding RNA from Microcebus murinus (gray mouse lemur), 336 nucleotides. The record is from RefSeq and is a predicted model, not a curated record. NCBI's taxonomy places the organism in Eukaryota, Metazoa, Chordata, Mammalia, Primates, Cheirogaleidae.